This 253-nucleotide ribosomal RNA is filed under the name uncultured bacterium. RNAcentral's name for it is "partial 16S ribosomal RNA". It matches the Rfam family "Bacterial small subunit ribosomal RNA", at positions 524 to 776 of the family's 1533-position model. The record is from RNAcentral.
GACGGAGGAUGCAAGUGUUAUCCGGAAUCACUGGGCGUAAAGCGUCUGUAGGUGGUUUAACAAGUCCACUGUUAAAGAUUGAAGCUUAACUUCAAAAAUGCCGUGGAAACUUUUAAUCUUGAGUAUGAUAGGGGUAGAGGGAAUUUCCAGUGGAGCGGUGAAAUGCGUAGAUAUUGGAAAGACCACCAAUGGCGAAGGCACUCUACUGGGCCAUUACUGACACUGAGAGACGAAAGCUAGGGGAGCGAACGGG